RNAcentral lists this transfer RNA (68 nucleotides) under Cerion incanum. RNAcentral describes it as "tRNA-Leu". The record is from RNAcentral. Lineage: Eukaryota; Metazoa; Mollusca; Gastropoda; Stylommatophora; Cerionidae.
GCUAACUUGGCAGAAUUAUGCGUAAGACUUAGGAUCUUAUAAUAACCUAUGAAACAGGUUAGGUAGUA